UAGAAUUCCACGUGUAGCGGUAAAAUGCGUAGAGAUGUGGAGGAAUACCGGUGGCGAAGGCGGCCUUCUGGACAGAUACUGACGCUGAGAUGCGAAAGCGUGGGGAGCAAACAGGAUUAGAUACCCUGGUAGUCCACGCUGUAAACGAUGUCGAUUUGGAGUUUGUUGCCUAGAGUGAUGGGCUCCGAAGCUAACGCGAUAAAUCGACCGCCUGGGGAGUACGGCCGCAAGGUUAAAACUCAAAUGAAUUGACGGGGGCCUGCACAAGCGGUGGAGCAUGUGGUUUAAUUCGAUGCGACGCGAAGAACCUUACCUGGUCUUGACAUCCACAGAAUCUUGCAGAGAUGUGAGAGUGCCUUCGGGAACUGUGAGACAGGUGCUGCAUGGCUGUCGUCAGCUCGUGUUGUGAAAUGUUGGGUUAAGUCCCGCAACGAGCGCAACCCUUAUCCUUUGUUGCCAUCGGUUAGGCCGGGAACUCAAAGGAGACUGCCGUUGAUAAAGCGGAGGAAGGUGGGGACGACGUCAAGUCAUCACGGCCCUUACGACCAGGGCUACACACGUGCUACAAUGGCGUAUACAAAGGGAGGCGACCUCGCGAGAGCAAGCGGACCUCAUAAAGUACGUCUAAGUCCGGAUUGGAGUCUGCAACUCGACUCCAUGAAGUCGGAAUCGCUAGUAAUCGUGAAUCAGAAUGU
This 695-nucleotide ribosomal RNA is filed under the name uncultured Gilliamella sp. RNAcentral describes it as "bacterial SSU rRNA". It matches the Rfam family "Bacterial small subunit ribosomal RNA", at positions 662 to 1357 of the family's 1533-position model. Lineage: Bacteria; Pseudomonadati; Pseudomonadota; Gammaproteobacteria; Orbales; Orbaceae. The record is from RNAcentral.